This 93-nucleotide transfer RNA is filed under the name Nonomuraea africana. RNAcentral describes it as "tRNA-Ser". It matches the Rfam family "tRNA". Rfam says of the family: Transfer RNA (tRNA) molecules are approximately 80 nucleotides in length. Their secondary structure includes four short double-helical elements and three loops (D, anti-codon, and T loops). Lineage: Bacteria; Bacillati; Actinomycetota; Actinomycetes; Streptosporangiales; Streptosporangiaceae. The record is from RNAcentral.
GGAGAGGUGCCGGAGUGGGCGAACGGGCACCCCUGCUAAGGGUCGCGGGGCCGGUGACGGCCCUCAUGGGUUCGAAUCCCAUCCUCUCCGCCA